RNAcentral lists this ribosomal RNA (257 nucleotides) under uncultured bacterium. RNAcentral describes it as "partial 16S ribosomal RNA". It matches the Rfam family "Bacterial small subunit ribosomal RNA", at positions 79 to 339 of the family's 1533-position model. The record is from RNAcentral.
UUGCACCUGAUGGCGAGUGGCGAACGGGUGAGUAACAUAUCGGAACGUGCCUAGUAAUGGGGAAUAACUAAUCGAAAGAUUAGCUAAUACCGCAUACGAUCUACGGAUGAAAGCGGGGGAUCGCAAGACCUCGCGCGAUUGGAGCGGCUGAUAUCAGAUUAGCUUGUUGGUAGGGUAAAGGCCUACCAAGCCGACGAUCAGUAGCUGGUCUGAGAGGACGAUCAGCCACACUGGAACUGAGACACGGUCCAGACUCC